GAAGAGAGCCUGAGCCGGGAAAGGGAAAACCGGUGCAAGCGGGGUAGGAGUCGUGUAGGCAAAUCCGCACGGCAAUCCGAAGACGUGAAGCGGAGCGAAUUAAAGUAGCGAAGCAGGUGAGCUGGCUGCCAAGAAAAGCCGCUAUUGUUCAUAUGAUACCCGUACCGUAAACCGACACAGGUGGAUGAGGAGAGAAUCCUAAGGCCGGCGGGAGAAGCAUUGUUAAGGAACUCGGCAAAAUGACCCCGUAACUUCGGGAGAAGGGGUGCCUGCGAGAGCAGGCCGCAGAGAAUAGGCUCAAGCAACUGUUUAGCAAAAACACAGGUCUAUGCGAAACCGAAAGGUGAGGUAUAUGGGCUGACGCCUGCCCGGUGCUGGAAGGUUAAGAGGAGAUGUCAGGAAACGAAGCAUUGAAUUUAAGCCCCAGUAAACGGCGGCCGUAACGAUAACGGUCCUAAGGUAGCGAAAUUCCUUGUCGGGUAAGUUCCGACCCGCACGAAAGGCGCAAUGAUUUGAGCGCUGUCUCGACAAUGCACCCGGUGAAAUUGAAGUACCAGUGAAGAUGCUGGUUACCUGCGCCAGGACGGAAAGACCCCAUGGAGCUUUACUCCAGCUUGAUACUGGGAUCCGAUGCUGUAUGUACAGGAUAGGUGGGAGGCUAAGAAGCGGUGACGCCAGUUGCCGCAGAGCUGAUGUUGGGAUACCACCCUUGCAGUAUUGGAUUUCUAACCAGCUGCCGUGACCCGGCAGUGGGACAAUGUCUGGCGGGGAGUUUGACUGGGGCGGUCGCCUCCGAAAGGGUAUCGGAGGCGCUCAAAGGUUCCCUCAGGAUGGUUGGAAACCAUCCGAAGAGUGCAAAGGCAGAAGGGAGCUUGACUGCGACACCGACGGGUGGAGCAGGUACGAAAGUAGGACUUAGUGAUCCGGUGGUAUUAAGUGGGAAUGCCAUCGCUCAACGGAUAAAAGCUACCCUGGGAUAACAGGCUUAUCACUCCCAAGAGUUCACAUCGUCGGAGUGGUUUGGCACCUCGAUGUCGGCUCAUCGCAUCCUGGGGCUGUAGCAGGUCCCAAGGGUUGGGCUGUUCGCCCAUUAAAGCGGUACGCGAGCUGGGUUCAGAACGUCGUGAGACAGUUCGGUCCCUAUCCGGCGCAGGCGGAGGAUAAUUGAGAGGAGCUGCCCUUAGUACGAGAGGACCGGGGUGGACGGACCGCUGGUGUAUCUGUUGGCUACCAAAGCCAUGGCAGAGUAGCCAAGUCCGGCAGGGAUAAACGCUGAAGGCAUCUAAGCGUGAAGCCCCCCUCAAGAUGAGUUAUCCCGAUAAGUAAGACCCCUUAGAGAGUAUGAGGUAGAUAGGUUUGAGGUGGAAGUGCAGUAAUGCAUGGAGCUGACAAAUACUAAUCGGUCGAGGGCUUAUCC
RNAcentral lists this ribosomal RNA (1417 nucleotides) under metagenome. RNAcentral's name for it is "bacterial LSU rRNA". It matches the Rfam family "Bacterial large subunit ribosomal RNA", at positions 1477 to 2925 of the family's 2925-position model. The record is from RNAcentral.